Molecule: small RNA, 21 nt
Filed under: Arabidopsis thaliana (thale cress)
Lineage: Eukaryota; Viridiplantae; Streptophyta; Magnoliopsida; Brassicales; Brassicaceae
Description: ATSL248910
Source: RNAcentral
UUUGGAGACGGGUAUUGGAAU